Molecule: unclassified non-coding RNA, 376 nt
Filed under: uncultured Lysobacteraceae bacterium
Lineage: Bacteria; Pseudomonadati; Pseudomonadota; Gammaproteobacteria; Lysobacterales; Lysobacteraceae
Description: uncultured Xanthomonadaceae bacterium contains 16S-23S intergenic spacer region
Source: RNAcentral
UCCAGCUUAUCGCUGGCGGUCUCCUGCGAGUGCCCAACUAAAUGAUGGCAACACAGGACAAGGGUUGCGCUCGUUGCGGGACUUAACCCAACAUCUCACGACACGAGCUGACGACAGCCAUGCAGCACCUGUCUCACGGUUCCCGAAGGCACUCCUACAUCUCUGUAAGAUUCCGUGGAUUCAAAGGUAGGUAAGGUUCUUCGCGUUGCAUCGAAUUAAACCACAUACUCCACCGCUUGUGCGGGCCCCCGUCAAUUCCUUUGAGUUUCAGUCUUGCGACCGUACUCCCCAGGUGGCGAACUUAACGCGUUAGCUUCGAUACUGCGUGCCAAAUUGCACCCAACAUCCAGUUCGCAUCGUUUAGGGCGUGGACUAC